AGCUAAUACUUGCUUUAGCACUCUUGAUUAAGUUCUUGAGUGUGUACUUGUUAAGCCUUUUAAGAAAAAAGUUAUUAACUUAAGGAAUUAUAACAAAGAAGCAACACGUAAAUGGAUUUUCCAUUUUUUAGUGUGUAUCAAUCGAGUUUCUGACCUAUCAGCUUUUGAUGUUAGGGUAUUGGCCUAACAUGGCUAUGACGGGUAACGGGGAAUUAGAGUUCGAUUCCGGAGAGGGAGCCUGAGAAAUAGCUACCACAUCUAAGGAAGGCAGCAGGCGCGUAAAUUACCCAAUUCUAAAGAAGAGAGGUAGUGACAAGAAAUAACAAUACAAGGCCAAUCUGGCUUUGUAAUUGGAAUGAUGGGAAUUUAAAACCUUCCCAAAACUCAAUUGGAGGGCAAGUCUGGUGCCAGCAGCCGCGGUAAUUCCAGCUCCAAUAGCGUAUAUUAAAAUUGUUGCAGUUAAAACGCUCGUAGUUGAAUUUCAAAGAAUCGAUAUUUUAAGUAGCACUUUGUAGAUUAAUCCACAUAACUGAUACUACGUAUCGACUUUGUGCGCAUUUUUCUACUUAUGAGUUCUUUUAAUUAAAAUGAUUCUUUUUAAGAUCUUUCUUUUUUGCUUCGGCAUUUUAGGAGAUCUUGUUACUUUGAGUAAAUUAGAGUGUUCAAAGCAAACAGAUUAUAGCAUCUUUAUGCGUUUGAAUACUACAGCAUGGAAUAACAAAAUUGAACAAGUCAGAAUUUUGUUCUUUUUUCUUAUUUUGGCUUAGUUACGAUUAAUAGGAGUAGCUUGGGGGCAUUUGUAUUCAGAUGUCAGAGGUGAAAUUCUUAGAUUUUCUGGAGACAAACAACUGCGAAAGCAUUUGCCUAAAAUACUUCCAUUAAUCAAGAACGAAAGUUAAGGGAGUGAAGACGAUCAGAUACCGUCGUAAUCUUAACCAUAAACUAUGCCGACUAGGCUUUGGAUGAAAGAUUUUAAAAUAAGAGUUUUUUCUCU
Molecule: ribosomal RNA, 994 nt
Filed under: Plasmodium inui
Lineage: Eukaryota; Apicomplexa; Aconoidasida; Haemosporida; Plasmodiidae
Description: SSU rRNA
Rfam family: Eukaryotic small subunit ribosomal RNA
Source: RNAcentral